This is a long non-coding RNA of Oreochromis aureus, 2642 nucleotides long. The record is from Ensembl. NCBI's taxonomy places the organism in Eukaryota, Metazoa, Chordata, Actinopteri, Cichliformes, Cichlidae.
GUGCUACACACUCUGGUUUAAAGAGGGACAUAAGUGAGAAGAAGCCUUUUACUGAGUGUAAACACACAUCAGAUUGUUCUCACUGAUCGCUCUGAUGAUGAAUAACAUGAUGACCUGAAGCAAAGCUCAGAGUGUUUGCUGUGUGUUCUUUGGUGCUGAUUCAGCAGGAAUCAGUGAGAAGGUGCAAAAAUAAAUCACUGUUAAACAGUCAACAGUCCAGUUUUUUAUUUCUUUGGUUCUUCACUUCAGUGGCUCAGUGCAUCAGAUUCACGGGGAGAUUAAAAUCAAACAAAUAACAGAAUUAAACCAAGGAACAAAUGAGGGAAAAGUUCUGCACCAGACUGAACCCCAUAAGUCGGGUAGUGGUCGAUGUAAUAUUCACAGAAAAUGUGAACACAGACAGUACAUGAGGGAAACUGCUCUGUAAGUGAUCAAAUCAACACACAUCGCACAACAUUCCUCCUUCCUUGCACACUUUCCUCCAGAACACUGAGCAGAAAAAAGACACCUGGACUGUUUCAGCAGCUCCUGGAGGAGAGGUGAGAAACAAACAAAUGAAAUCUAAACCAGCUUUUUUACUCUGAUACCGUCAGGAUUUCAUGGCUGACUUGACACAUGCACAAACUGCAACAGUGUUUUUUUUUUUUAUAGUGCUCACAGCAUUUAUGCAUUCACUAUCUUGUAAAACACUCAACCCAGAGAAAAAAAGCAUAAAUUACUUUGUUUGUUUAAAUUGUUGGUUUACACAGAAAAAAAACCAAAGUUUCACAAAUAGGAAAUGUAAAACACAGGUUUCUGUAACACUUCUGUUUCCAUUUUCCACUGAAGGAAGUUCAAGUACCUGCUGAAGGAAAUAAACAAACAAAUUUGAAAAAUACCAUAAAGUCAGUGGUACUGAGAUGGCCUAUUUUGCAGAACAAGUUAUUUUCCAGUCACUGCUGCAUUAACUUCAGUUUUCAUAAAACAAAGUUUGUAAUUUGUAGCUGUGCAAAAUUCACUUUUACAGUCUAAAAUCUCUGUUUGUGUAAAUGUAGGAAAUGUUACACAGUAAAGACAGUUGUAAAGAGGGAGUUAUAAAAAUGUUCAUGAUAGUCAACAUGAUGACUUUGAGUGUUUCACUCAGACGUAUAUUUCAUGUCUAUAACAUUGCCAAGGAUGCAUCACCAUUAAUUAGUGUAAACAAUUUUAUCCCAAACCCUCAUGUUUAUCUAACUUCAUAGAUUUAAUGCUUAAAGUGAUGCAGUUUUAUUUCAUAAGUGUAGAAACCUGUGAGCUGUGAAAUGAUUCCCUCCAUCACCAACCCCACAGAUGUCCAAAUGUAAAAUUAAAUAUAAAGUUUAUGUCCUGGGACAUGAAUUUGUAGAUAUGAACCUGAGGUAUGUUCAUGUGUAUGAGUUCAUAUCCACAAACACAUCAGUCAGUGCUGCACCAUUAGUACCUGUUUCCCUGCUCCAAACAGUUUGAAACCCUCCCAAUGUCUUUAGACUUUAACAGGAUCUCUGAGAAGCAGAAAUCACAUAUUCAGCACCGUUCCCUUUUCUUCUUUUAGAGAUCAGAACAUUAGGUACAAGAAUAAACACACCAAAACUGACAGACUCACUACCAGUCCCACAAACCCUCCAAGUCCUCCUGGAGGACCUGCAGGUGAGAAGAAGGUGAGAGCUGGUGAUGAGUGAAGAACAGAAGAGAAUCCAGGAUUUUAGUGAGUUUUUCAGUCCUUGAAACCCUGAAAACCAAAUUUCAUGAUUUCCAUGUCCUCAGAUCAUCGUUUGUUCCUGUGUUGAGUGACACGCUGGGAAUUUGGAGCAACAGCAGGAGAUUCAGGUGGAAAAGCUGUGAGAUGUUUCAAACAUAGUGCAUUUCAACAGGUUAGUAUGAAUCUUGAUUCUGAUUGUCAUGGUUUAUCUAGAUCAUAAAAACAGCGACACCAACAAGAAGCACAGCAGGAACUACCAGACCAACAAUCAGUCCAACAGAUCCACUCUUCGCUCCUCCAUCCUCCUUCCCUCCAUCCUUCUUCCCUCCAUCCUCUGUGUGUCCUCCUGUCUGACCUGCAGGUGAGAAACAGGUGUGAGGUGUCAGCUGUCAGGUAGGUGAUGAGUGAAGAACAGAACAGAAUCCAUUUCCUCUUCAAACUGCUGUCAGACAUUAUCUACUGCACUCUGAUCACAUCACUCAGACCAGCUGCUUUCUACAAAGUCUCAUCAACAACAUCUUUAGAAACAAACAUCAACAACCAGGAAGCAGCUUCACCUCUGAUCACACACACACUCAACUCUACUCACUCACCUGGAGGAUCAACAACAUGAAGGUAGAUGCUGCUGAUGGGGUCUUUAUUUAAUUUUAAAUUCAUGUUGACACGACACUCGUAUGUUCCAGUGUCAUUAAUCAUCACAUUCUUCAGAAUCAAAGACACGUCUCCAUCCUUCAUCUGUCUGUCCUGCAGAUCCACCCGGUUCUUAAAAGAUGGAUGCUGGUUUUCUGGAUCGGACAUGUUAUUCCGAUACACAAAAACAGGUUUAUCUUCCAGGUCAGUUCUGUUCCACUCUACAAGAUCAAUGUUGUUAUUUUGAGCUCGACAUGUCAGAGUGACAUCCUGUCCAGACUCAGCUGUGAUGUUUUUCUGCUCUGAAAGAGGAAAC